UUUCCGUAGGUGAACCUGAGGAAGGAUCAUUAUUGUAUAGCCGAGGUGCGAGGGCUGUCGCUGACCCGAAAGGUCGUGCACGCCCGAGUGCCCUCACACACAUCCAUCUCACCCCUAUGUGAACCACCGCGUGGGUCCCCCUUUGGCUUGUUCGGAGGGGGGCUUACGUUUUCACACAAACUUUGUAUGCAGUGUAGAAUGUAUUUUUUGUUUUUGCGAUCACGCAAUCAAUACAACUUUCAACAACGGAUCUCUUGGCUCUC
RNAcentral lists this unclassified non-coding RNA (263 nucleotides) under plant metagenome. Its description in RNAcentral is "partial contains small subunit ribosomal RNA, internal transcribed spacer 1, and 5.8S ribosomal RNA". The record is from RNAcentral.